AUUAGUAAGCGGAGGAAAAGAAACUAACUAGGAUUUCCUUAGUAGCGGCGAGCGAACAGGAAAAAGCCCAGCACUGAAUCCUGCCGUCGUUCAGUCGGUGGGAGAUGUGGUGUUCGGGAGGUUCCGCGUUCUCGUCGCAAUCACACCUGUCCAAGUUCAUCUUGAACGAGGCCGUUUUCCCGUAGAGGGUGACAGGCCCGUAGUGACGGUGGAUCGUGGCGAGAGGGACUCUCCUUAGAGUCGGGUUGCUUGAGAGUGCAGCCCUAAGUGGGUGGUAAACUCCAUCUAAGGCUAAAUAUUACCGCGAGACCGAUAGCGAACAAGUACCGUGAGGGAAAGUUGAAAAGGACUUUGAAGAGAGAGUUCAAGAGUACGUGAAACCGUUCAGGGGUAAACCUGCGAAACACGAAUGAACGAACGGAGAGAUUCAUCGUCAUUCCGCGGCGUAUGGACGCGCGCCUCGAUGCCGUCGACCUCGGCCGGUAGGCACGGGUCGCGUCUGUCGACGUCCGCGGACGGCGUGCACUUCUCUUUUAGUAAAUACAUCGCGACCCGUCCGAUGUCGGUCUAAGCGCCGUACGGAGAGCUUGGACCCACUACCCCCGUGAAGGGGCACCUUCACCGAGGUGGUGGAACCGCAACGGUGGCCGACCGGCCGUCGGACGGUAGUUUUAAGGAAUCGCGCACGCGUUUUUGGCGCGUCCGGCCCGACGCGAGUCAACGUCGUAUUCUGUGUCUACGCCUUAAUGCGGACGCGGGUGCGGCGCGUCUGCCGUCGCCGCCGUGUUGUCUUGGACUGUGCGCGUCUCUGUCUGCGAUGAUUCAGUUUCGGGCACUCGCAGGACCCG
Molecule: ribosomal RNA, 848 nt
Filed under: Sesamia sylvata
Lineage: Eukaryota; Metazoa; Arthropoda; Insecta; Lepidoptera; Noctuidae
Description: partial 28S large subunit ribosomal RNA
Rfam family: Eukaryotic large subunit ribosomal RNA
Source: RNAcentral